CUUGACGACCAUAGAGCAUUGGAACCACCUGAUCCCAUCCCGAACUCAGUAGUGAAACGAUGCAUCGCCGAUGGUAGU
Molecule: ribosomal RNA, 78 nt
Filed under: Pseudomonas peli
Lineage: Bacteria; Pseudomonadati; Pseudomonadota; Gammaproteobacteria; Pseudomonadales; Pseudomonadaceae
Source: RNAcentral